UCUUCAUUGGUCUAGUGGUCAUGAUUUCCGCUUGUCAAGAGAAAUCUCGUCAAGCGCGGGAGACCAGGGUUCGAUUCCCUGAUGGAGAG
This is a transfer RNA of Aureobasidium subglaciale EXF-2481, 89 nucleotides long. It matches the Rfam family "tRNA". Rfam says of the family: Transfer RNA (tRNA) molecules are approximately 80 nucleotides in length. Lineage: Eukaryota; Fungi; Ascomycota; Dothideomycetes; Dothideales; Saccotheciaceae. The record is from Rfam.